AGUUGCCCAAUGUUUUGGCUUCCGUCUAGGCAGAGAGAAGACUGGCUCACCAAGAAGCUUUAAGCAAACAAAUAUUAGCUUCCUUUAUUUCUCUCUUGUCCUGUUCUAAGGCAGGAAAUUGGGGCAGAAUAACACUCAGGGAUGUCGGCUUUUAAACAUCCUGCUGCUUGUGUGAGCAUUUUCUCAGACUACCUCUUGCUGCAGGACUUCCAAGGAUUGCUGAUGUGUUGUCUGCAAACUGCAAAGCCCUAAGGGCUUGCUGAAAUUUUCUUCUCCUUCCUUUUUUGACUGACAGGGCUGAAAAAGUGAAGAACCUCUCAGCGAUGCAGUCCUGGCCAUAGAUCUUUCAUUUGGGAGGCAGGGGCCUGUUCUCUGGAAUUCUUGUAGACUUUAUUUUUAUGCCUGUGCCUUAUGUGUAUUACUGGAUUAGAGCAAAUGGGAUACAAAGGAACAAAGAACAGGAUGCACUGCUAUCGGAGUUUGCCAAAAAAGGAUGUGCCACUGAUGGAAUCUGAAGAAAUAAGAAGUGGAGACUCGUUUCCCAGAGCAGCCCACAUAGUGAAUGAAACCUCUAGUCCUGGACCAGUGAUAAGACACCAUGAAGUCACAGAGUUCACCACCAUGAGUAAUGUUCCUGAAGAGGAAGUGGCUGUGGCUAAGAAAGAAGAUGUCUGUUUUUCUCAAGACAUAGCACUUCUUUUUGCCAUGGAAGAACAGCUCUGGGGAAGGCUGUCUAAUUCUGUGGAAGGAGAAACUUCUGUGGAACUGGAAAAUGACCAGAGGGAUCCAGAAAAGUGGGGAGGAUUUUCAGAGGGGGAAAGUGAUCCCAAAGUACAGGAGGCCUUUGUGAAGGACAGUAGGGUUCCCCCCUUGAAUUGCCACCAGGGACACCUUAUAGCUAAUGAUGCCUUAAGUAGCUACCAGUCUUCUCUUGACAGUGAAACACCUCUGACACAGAUUCCAAGCCCUUUCAGUGGAGUUUCAAGGGGAGAGAGAGGAGCCCCAGGCCCCACUAUAUGUUGUCAAGAUCUGAACCCUUGUAACUCUUCCUCUGAGAUACAAACUAAAGAAGACUUGAUAUCAGACACAUCUUCUCCUCAGAAGGAAUCAGGCAAUGAGAAUUUCCCAAUGAGUCACAAUAGUUCUUUAUGUUACCAAAAUGCUGUGUCUUUCCAGGCCAGUUCAGACGAACAUUAUUCAAGGGAAAAAAUAUGGAGGAGAGAUGAGAUGCCAUCUAAGACAGAAGAAGUUGAUAAGAUACAGCCCACUUCCUCCACAAAAGAUGCUGAGGUGAAAGAAAGAGAGUUAAAGAAUGCUGAAUCUCCUAUUUACCAGCUGAGCUGUGAAAUUUCAGAAGGAAGGAGGAUAUACUUAAAUGUGCUACAUAGUGACCCUAAUAAAUUUGUUUCACUGCCAGUCUCUAACAAAAUGGAUACUAGUUCAGACACAAAGGACCAAGUGGAAGACUUGGUGCAAAAAAUGCUUAUUUGUGGUAUCCCACAUCUCCAGGAGAAGGAGAAGAACACAGGAUGUGAGAUUCAAUCGCUGGAGGAGACAGUGGGAACAAAGCAUGCUGACAAUCAUACAGAUUAUUGUGGUAAAUCAGAAUCAGCUCAUAAAAAUGGGUCAAAAAAUCUGGAGUCAGAGCUUGCCAUGAUAGAGCAAGGAAGGCAGUUGAGAGACACUGAGCUGAAUGAUCAGAGAGAUCUGGCCUGGAAAGCAGUGGAAAAUGAAACGAGAACAGAACAGGAGAAGCUAGAAUUAAGGUUUAGUGAUCAAGAGGAACAAAACUGGUAUUUGCAAGUAACAGAAACAUCAGGGAAAGGGGUGAUGGAUGAAACAGCCACCUCAUCAACUGCAGUGGACAUCAAUUCACUUUGUAAUUUAGAAAAUAACUCAGGCUUUUCUGAUUCAGUCAAGAGCACUUCUUUGAUUAAAGCCAAAGAAUUUGCUUUUUCUUUCAAGGAACCCUCCUUACCUGGUUUCUCUUCAGAGUCCAUUUGGACAAAAGCUUCUGGCAGUGGUGCAGCAAACUCAAAAGUUACGUCUGUUGUCGGAAUACUCCCUGAAGGUGACAGUCAAAGGGUAGAUCCUUUGAUAUAUCAUGACUUUGGGCAACUGGAAUACUCUGGCACCUGUGCCAAAGAAGUCUCUGUUUGCCCUAAAGGCAAAGAUAGUAAAGAACUCACUGAGGAAGAUAAUUCUGUUGAAAAUAGGUGUAGUGAAAAUGCAGGAGAUGAGGGCAGUGCCUGGAAAGCUGAUGACGAAGUAAUGGCAUCAUCCUGUAGAAAUGAUAUAACAAUUCUUGAUCCAUGUAAGCAUUUACAAUAUUCUCAGACUCUGGAUCACCCUAUUGAUACAGAAAUUAGUGCCACUGCCUCAUCACUGUGGACCAAAACAGCAAGAAGUUUCUCAGAAGAAAAUGCUGGCAAGGGAG
This 2437-nucleotide long non-coding RNA is filed under the name Salvator merianae (Argentine black and white tegu). RNAcentral's name for it is "lncRNA (ENSSMRG00000007999.1)". The record is from RNAcentral. Lineage: Eukaryota; Metazoa; Chordata; Lepidosauria; Squamata; Teiidae.